RNAcentral lists this ribosomal RNA (210 nucleotides) under uncultured bacterium. RNAcentral's name for it is "partial 16S ribosomal RNA". It matches the Rfam family "Bacterial small subunit ribosomal RNA", at positions 1290 to 1500 of the family's 1533-position model. The record is from RNAcentral.
AGUUCGGACUGAAGGCUGAAAUUCGCCUUCACGAAGUCGGAAUUGCUAGUAAUGGCAGGUCAGCAUACUGCCGUGAAUACGUUCCCGGGCCUUGUACACACCGCCCGUCACACCAUGAGAGUUAGGAAUACCCGAAGCCUGUGAGCUAACUUUUAGAGGCAGCAGUCGAAGGUAGAAUCAAUGAUUGGGGUGAAGUCGUAACAAGGUAAC